UGAGGGAUAUUGGUCAAUGGGCGCAAGCCUGAACCAGCGACGCCGCGUGGGUGAAGAAGGUCUUCGGAUCGUAAAGCCCUUUUCCCACUGAAGAGGAAGGACGGUAGGUGGGGAAGAAGUCUCGGCUAACUACGUGCCAGCAGCCGCGGUAAAACGUAGGAGACAAGCGUUAUCCGGAGCUACUGGGCGUAAAGGGCGUGCAGGUGGCGUCUUAAGUCUGUUGUGAAAGCGCCUGGCUUAACCGGGCGAGGCCAAUGGAGACUGAGAGGCUGGAGGACGGCGGAGAGGUGUGGAAUUCCGGGUGUAGUGGUGAAAUGCGUAGAGAUCCGGAGGAACACCAGAGGCGAAGGCGGCACUCUAAGCCGUACCUGACACUGAGACGCGACAGCACGGGGAGCAAACG
Molecule: ribosomal RNA, 403 nt
Filed under: uncultured bacterium
Lineage: Bacteria
Description: bacterial SSU rRNA
Rfam family: Bacterial small subunit ribosomal RNA
Source: RNAcentral